CGCUCCCUGGAAAGGCAAGCAGGUGGGUGGCUGUGGGCAGCAGGGUGCUGUCCCUGUUGAAGGCUGGCGUAGCGGCUUCCUCCUCCAGUUUGGCUUCUUUCCCUUUGUGGGCAUGUCGUGUCUUCUGCAUCGCAAAUCAACAGGGGAGAAUCAGUACUCCAGCACUUCCUUCUGCCGGCCAGGUUCCACCCCUGUGGCUUCCCUAUGACAUCUGCUUCCACCUGGCCCAAGCUGCCCAUGAGCAGGUGGCCAGAAGAAAAG
RNAcentral lists this long non-coding RNA (261 nucleotides) under Gallus gallus (chicken). Its description in RNAcentral is "lncRNA (ENSGALG00010023667.1)". The record is from RNAcentral. Lineage: Eukaryota; Metazoa; Chordata; Aves; Galliformes; Phasianidae.